GCUGUACAUGCUUCUAUGAACAAACACGUAAAAGACGGAAAAUCCCAGGAAAUAUCUCUUUCUUUCCCGGUCGGCACAGAGGUGACAAGGGCCAGGCCGGGCAGCCUCUGCUGCAGGGCCAGGCCCCUUCCCGGGGCGCCCACCGGGCCCCAUGGGCUGCCAGGCAGGGCGAGGGCAGUGCCAUGGGGCAGAGGCCGGGCUGGGCCACGGCUGCGAUUUCCGACAUCUCACUGUUUGUUAAACCCUGCGCCGCCGCCAGCCCGGGCCCAGCUGGGUGCGCCAGGCCCCAGGAGCAGCCCCGGGCCCCCGGGGCUGGCUCGGGAAAGAUUCUGCCGCCAUUGAGAUUGACCCGCAACCCCCGGGCAGGGGGACGAGAAGCCAUCGGCCCCGCUGUGCUGCUGCUGAGCUCUGGCCCGGCUGCUGAGACCCGGGCCCUGCCCCAGCCCAGCCCAGCCGCAGCUCCCAUCUGCAAGCACCGAGCUCGGCCAGGGCCAUGUUCCAGAGAAGGAGGAGGACCUGGACUGAAUUAAGGAACCCCUUGCCAAAAGCUGCUGCAUAUCCAGAAAGCUUUCCUGGUGUUCAAGGGGAGGAGAGACCCAGCUGAGGAAAAGAGCUCCACUGAGGAUUAGAAACAGAGAAAUGCCGGCAGGGACCCAAGAGAAGUCACAGCCCCAGGGCCCAUGGAUGUCCCAUGGGUCUAACUGAAGGUCAGACAGGAGAUAUCAGGGGUGCUUUCCCAGGAUUGAACCCUGCUCUGUUUCCUCCCACUACCUUUUCCUGUUUUGCUCUGGUCUGAAAGGAGGGAAAGCAUAUAAAUGCAUAAAACGCUCAGAGUUCGAGGGGUUUUCUCCUGAAAGCAGUGCAAUAGCUCUCAAAUGGCUUCUCAAACAGUAGCAAAGAAGAGAUGAUGUGCAUGUGGAGCUGUCCUGGAUGUGCCUCUGCCAUUGAUAACUGAUGAACACAGACAUUCCCUCAGCUCACCACUCAUGGGAAGAUGGUUGUGCUUCCAGGGAAGUCUCACCCCACUUCUCACAGUCAGAGACAAAUUGUUCUCUCUGUCUCUCUCAUAUUUAGAAGGAGCCGUGACAACUGCUUUAGACAGGAGAAUUAUUUUAGGCAAGGCCAGUCCUGUAAUCCUGAACCAAAAUUGAAGCUUUGAGAGGGAAAAAGAAAAUGAAGGAGGAAAGACAGAAGUGGGGAGGAGAAUGAAAAAGAAAAUUGGGGGGGGGGAAGAGAGAGAGGAGAAAGGAAAAACCCCAAAAAACAACAAACUCUCUCUUCUGCAUUGUCAGUGAUGUCUCUGUUGCCCAGAGACCAAUAGAGUCUGGUCUGCCAACAGAGGCCAAAUAAAUUAGAAAUUUUGAAUUAUGCAUUGAGUCUGUGAUAGAUGAUAUGUAUAAAUUUGUGCUGAGACUACAGUAAUCUCACCUGAUAAAAAUCCUAGCAUACCAAAAGAGAAUUCCAGGAAAUUCCCUCUGAUGAGAUUACAGCGAUAUGCACCAAAAUCCUAGUCUGAAUAUUCAUCUCCAGAAAUGUUGAUUCCAGAGGCUUAUUUGUCUGACCAAACCCCAGCAAUAUGCAUUCGAUAUGCAUCAUCAAUAAAAUAAAUACAUGUCUUCUAGAAUGUAUACUGCAGGAGAUUUUCGUCUAAAGUGAAUUUACCAGUUUUGGGAAACUCAGCAAGAGUGACAACAAGAAAAGAAAAACUACGUGAAUAUGCUAAAAGAAUAAGAUCAACUAUAAGAAAGCAAGAAACCCUCCCAACAACUCUUAGAGCUUAGAAAUGUAUAAAAAGACUUUGUAAGAGCUGUCUCUUUGUGAUGUACAGGGGAGAGAAGCCAAAGUGCACCAACCUGUCUCACCUGACUCUGUUAGCCUAGUUCAGCGUCAAUCUAAUCUUUGCUUGUGACCUUUUUAGGAUUGUAUUUUAAUUAUGGAAUAAAGUCUCCUUAUUAAAUCAA
Passer domesticus (house sparrow) is the source of this 1961-nucleotide long non-coding RNA. RefSeq lists it as uncharacterized. Lineage: Eukaryota; Metazoa; Chordata; Aves; Passeriformes; Passeridae. The transcript has 2 exons. The record is from RefSeq and is a predicted model, not a curated record.